This is a long non-coding RNA of Rhea pennata, 496 nucleotides long. RefSeq lists it as uncharacterized. The record is from RefSeq and is a predicted model, not a curated record. The transcript is spliced from 3 exons. NCBI's taxonomy places the organism in Eukaryota, Metazoa, Chordata, Aves, Rheiformes, Rheidae.
CCAUAAUUCUACCAUCUAAUGUUUUCACACGGUAGAUAGCCUCCGGGGGUUGUGAGCUCUUCUCCAAGGACUGCUUACUUUGGCCUACCAUCCGCACAGGUUUCUGAGAUGGGCUUCCCACUCCAGCCAUGAACUCAGGCAUAAGAAUGCUUCUUGGAUUUGAAUCUAGCUAUCAGCAAGUACAAAACACAGAAAAAAAAACUCAAAGAAAAAAAGUUCUUUCCAAAAAUGGAAAACCCACCAGAUGGCAUGGCACAGUUAAACGCAACAUGUCCUAAAAUCCAACCAUGCAAAGAAGAAAUUGGUAUCUUUACCGAAAAACAGCUGCAGGAAGGAAGGACUAUCUUGGCUAACAGUAGGUAAAUGGUAGCUCUAAAUAGCAAUAAACAGAAAACUGGGCAACUUGAUAGCUACCAGCACCUUCCCCCUCUUAGAAGUCAGACAGACUUUACCAGGUGCCCUUGGGUAAGGGAGCUGGCAUCACAAGCAACAACUG